This 525-nucleotide long non-coding RNA is filed under the name Homo sapiens (human). RNAcentral's name for it is "HSALNT0079887". Lineage: Eukaryota; Metazoa; Chordata; Mammalia; Primates; Hominidae. The record is from RNAcentral.
AAUAGAGAUAAGUGAUAUUAGGUAGUGGUUGGAGUUUACAGAUGACACCUUCAUUACACUUUGGUACAUUUGAAAAAGGUUUUUGGUUUUCCUUAACAAUAUGUAGGUUUGAAUAACAUAUUCUGUAGUGAUAAGAUUCUGCCUCAUAAUGCACGUUUAUGUGAUUGGAACACGUCUCACAACAGAAUCCUGCGGAGCCACUGCUCAAAAGCAACAAUUCAGCCUCUGCAACAAUAACAUUGUCUAAACAUUCAUAUAAAAAACACUCUGGAUAACAGUGUAGAAGCCAUUCUAAAAAUAAUUCUCGAAGUUCCAUGGAAUUAACCCUGCUCCGUUUGAGAUCUUGUUUCUAUGUAAAAAUAAAACUUAGAUUUUCAUUACAAUAGAUAAUAUUAGAAAAAUGUAUUUGAAAAUAAAUUAACAACGUUAUCAGUUUGUAGAAGCAAACAAAUCUGUAGUUCUCAUGGCAGUCGUAUCAGGCAAGACAACCAGAGUUUUAAAGCUAUUCUAAUUUCCUAUAAUUCA